UACGUAGGGUGCAAGCGUUAAUCGGAAUUACUGGGCGUAAAGGGCGCGUAGGCGGCCUGGCAAGUGGAAUGUGAAAGCCCCCGGCUUACCCGGGGAUCUGCAUCCCAAACUGCUUGGCUUGAGUACGGGAGAGGAUAGGGGAAUUCCUGGUGUAGCGGUGAAAUGCGUAGAUAUCAGGAGGAACACCUAUAGCGAAGGCAGCUCGCUGGGACGACACUGACGCUGAGACGCGAAAGCGUGGGGAGCGAACAGG
RNAcentral lists this ribosomal RNA (253 nucleotides) under uncultured bacterium. RNAcentral's name for it is "partial 16S ribosomal RNA". It matches the Rfam family "Bacterial small subunit ribosomal RNA", at positions 524 to 776 of the family's 1533-position model. The record is from RNAcentral.